This 616-nucleotide ribosomal RNA is filed under the name uncultured bacterium. RNAcentral's name for it is "bacterial SSU rRNA". The stretch from base 1 to 539 matches the Rfam family "Bacterial small subunit ribosomal RNA", at positions 338 to 873 of the family's 1533-position model. The record is from RNAcentral.
CCUACGGGAGGCAGCAGUGGGGAAUUUUGGACAAUGGGCGAAAGCCUGAUCCAGCAAUGCCGCGUGUGGGAAGAAGGCCUUCGGGUUGUAAACCACUUUUGUACGGAACGAAACGGCUCGCUUUAAUACAGUGGGCUAAUGACGGUACCGUAAGAAUAAGCACCGGCUAACUACGUGCCGGCAGCCGCGGUAAUACGUAGGGUGCGAGCGUUAAUCGGAAUUACUGGGCGUAAAGCGUGCGCAGGCGGUUAUAUAAGACAGUUGUGAAAUCCCCGGGCUCAACCUGGGAAUUGCAUCUGUGACUGUAUAGCUAGAGUACGGUAGAGGGGGAUGGAAUUCCGCGUGUAGCAGUGAAAUGCGUAGAUAUGCGGAGGAACACCGAUGGCGAAGGCAAUCCCCUGGACCUGUACUGACGCUCAUGCACGAAAGCGUGGGGAGCAAACAGGAUUAGAUACCCUGGUAGUCCACGCCCUAAACGAUGUCAACUGGUUGUUGGGUGCAUAGUACUCAGUAACGAAGACUACGCGUGAGUAGACGCGNGGAGGUACGGCGCGAGUAGAACGACAANAGAGUAGACGGCGUGAGACGNGCCGACGGACGACGACGAGGGAGGAGG